AUAUAGUCUUCUGAGGAGUAGUAGGAAUUUACGGCAUUAAGAGAGCUGGUGGUUGGUGCAAACCAGUUGCACGAAAUUCUGAACUCGCCUCGUAAAAAGAAGACAGGGAGACCUAUAAAUCAAUGAGUGGGCCAAAUUUGGUCAAAUAGGGUGGUACCGCGAGUUUUAGCCUCGUCCCUAUG
Molecule: non-coding RNA, 182 nt
Filed under: Thermobrachium celere
Lineage: Bacteria; Bacillati; Bacillota; Clostridia; Eubacteriales; Clostridiaceae
Description: T-box sequence
Rfam family: T-box leader
About the family: Uncharged tRNA acts as the effector for transcription antitermination of genes in the T-box leader family. T-boxes are found upstream of many aminoacyl-tRNA synthetase genes and some amino acid biosynthetic genes usually in Gram-positive bacteria.
Source: RNAcentral